CAGCCGCCGCGGUAAUACGUAGGGUGCGAGCGUUAAUCGGAAUUACUGGGCGUAAAGCGUGCGCAGGCGGUUGUGUAAGACAGGUGUGAAAUCCCCGGGCUUAACCUGGGAACUGCGCUUGUGACUGCACAGCUAGAGUAUGGCAGAGGGGGGUGGAAUUCCACGUGUAGCAGUGGAAUGCGUAGAGAUGUGGAGGAACACCGAUGGCGAAGGCAGCCCCCUGGGCCAAUACUGACGCUCAUGCACGAAAGCGUGGGGAGCAAACAGGAUUAGAUACCCCUGUAGUCCCUGUCUCUUAUAC
Molecule: ribosomal RNA, 301 nt
Filed under: uncultured bacterium
Lineage: Bacteria
Description: partial 16S ribosomal RNA
Rfam family: Bacterial small subunit ribosomal RNA
Source: RNAcentral